RNAcentral lists this long non-coding RNA (781 nucleotides) under Rattus norvegicus (Norway rat). RNAcentral's name for it is "long non-coding RNA NONRATT005074". Lineage: Eukaryota; Metazoa; Chordata; Mammalia; Rodentia; Muridae. The record is from RNAcentral.
CGGGGUUUCCCUCUCGGGGCGGGGGCCACGCCGGAUCAAUGGUGUGUGCUCGGGCAAUCCCGAAUGGGAGAUUCCGGAGUCGGUCCCGCUCGAGGCCCAAGGGGCCCGCGGGGGAGGGGCAGCGCCGCUCCGCCGGGCGCCCAGAAACCCGCACCCUGGCGGGAACCAUGUGGCUUGUUGUGGUUGGAGGCUUGAGGUGCGAGCAGAGACACGGGCUCAACUUGAAAUCGCGCCCUCGGAGGCACGGGAACAGUUGGCUGCGGAAGAGGGGAUGAGCAUCAGUCUCCGGGCACCCUCUGGCCCCGACUCUUAUUUCGAGGGGGACAGGGGAUGAAGAAUCCUUGGACAUAAACAUUUGAUUUUGCUGAACUGCGGUUUGGGUCGCAGCGUACGGGAAGAUUUGCACGAAGACUGUAUUUCUCCGUGACAGCAAAGGAGAGGGCGAAAAUAAGCUCUGAACUAAAAAUGAAGCAGUUAAUACAGUCGAACGUUAAUCUGCCGAUGUAAAAAGGGAGAAUCGGGAUGUCCCUCAGUUGAGAGCGUUCGUUUUGUUUUUUAAAAGAUACGUUCGUUUCAUAUGGUCAUUAAGCAGAGUUUGCUAACUUUAUCAAGAAGGUAGGAGUGAAUUUUGAAAUCCAAGGUAUGGUCUGCCCCUCUCUGCCCCCAGUAGUUGUAUUUAUAACGCUUUGAAGAGAAAGGAGACCGAUGUUGAUGGGAAGCAACAGAUUUUGGCCGUGACAGGAAAUAAUGCCAUUUUAGAAAAUUUAGCCUCAAAAGCAUU